GGUCCUAUAGUCUAGUGGUUAGGACGUUGGAUUUUGAUAACCAUUCAAAUUUCUUCCGAAGUCCCCGGUUCGAACCCGGGUAGGACCU
Molecule: transfer RNA, 88 nt
Filed under: Fusarium verticillioides 7600
Lineage: Eukaryota; Fungi; Ascomycota; Sordariomycetes; Hypocreales; Nectriaceae
Also listed under: 1 other name
Description: tRNA-Gln for anticodon UUG
Rfam family: tRNA
About the family: Transfer RNA (tRNA) molecules are approximately 80 nucleotides in length. Their secondary structure includes four short double-helical elements and three loops (D, anti-codon, and T loops).
Source: Rfam by way of RNAcentral